AAUUCAUUCAAUGUGAUGCAAAUUAUGUUAAAAGUGCAAUCCAAAAGCAUGCACAUUUAAAUGCAAUUCAGCCUUUUUUUAGUUCAAAUUUGAUGAUGCAUGACAGUAUAUGAUGCAUGAUAGAUAGAUAGAUAGAUAGAUAGAUAGAUAGAUAGAUAGAUAGAUAGAUAGAUAGAUAGAUAGAUAGAUAGAUAGAUAGAUAGAUAGAUAGAUAGAUAGAUAGAUAGAUGUUGCUGUCCUGCGUUCAUUUUAAUUCCAGGGAUUUGUGAGAAACAGAUGGUUUCAUGUCAAUCAUUUGCACAUGUUUGAAUAAGAAUUCACUAAUUACUAAUGUGCAUAAUUAGGACUAAUUAAGUUGUCUGAACAGCACACUGGCAUUAUGAAGACAUAACAGAACCAGUUCCUCCGAAAGCGGCGGGUGAUCGACCCACUGCGGCGCAUUUCAAUAAGUGCUUUAUUCCCGAGACUCGGCGAAUGUCAAGAGCGCAUGCUGUUUUGGCGCAGAACGUGACGUCAGCGAUCAGCCAGUGUCACUUUCGGCUGGUUUCUGAAGGACUUAGAGUUUAGGUUCCAACCCUGUUUCAACACACAAACCAUGUCAUUUUUAAAAAAGCAUGAAGGACUUUAUUAGUUGGAUCAGGCAAAUCAUCCCAAUCCGAGCGUCCCGUGGUGCUCACGUCCUCCAGACCUCCACCUCCGUAUCUCUGUAAUAUAGAUGUUUGUGUGAGUGUGUGUAUGUCUGUGCAUCUCCAGCCUUCUUACAGCAGGCAUGAUUGGUUGUGUUUCUGUUUCAGACAAAUGGAUUUUAUCCCCCUUAUAAUUGUGUUUGAGAAAUCAAUGAUGCAACUGAAGAACAGCGGAAAAUAACAGAGCGUUGUCAUCCACAACGACUCAUUCUGUGCUGUGAUGUAAUGUUUCUUUGAACGCCGUUUGUUUUACAGUUCUCCCUGUCCUUUGUUUUCAGGUGUGUGUAAAUCUUUUUAAUUCACAAAAAGGAGAAAAAAGUCGAGAAUUUAAAUGGAAGGAGAAAAAUAAAAGCAAAUUUUGUUUUUAA
Long non-coding RNA from Carassius auratus (goldfish), 1054 nucleotides. RefSeq lists it as uncharacterized. Lineage: Eukaryota; Metazoa; Chordata; Actinopteri; Cypriniformes; Cyprinidae. The transcript has 2 exons. The record is from RefSeq and is a predicted model, not a curated record.